RNAcentral lists this ribosomal RNA (497 nucleotides) under uncultured bacterium. RNAcentral's name for it is "partial 16S ribosomal RNA". It matches the Rfam family "Bacterial small subunit ribosomal RNA", at positions 28 to 507 of the family's 1533-position model. The record is from RNAcentral.
GAUGAACGCUGGCGGCGUGCCUAAUACAUGCAAGUCGAGCGAACAGACGAGGAGCUUGCUCCUCUGACGUUAGCGGCGGACGGGUGAGUAACACGUGGAUAACCUACCUAUAAGACUGGGAUAACUUCGGGAAACCGGAGCUAAUACCGGAUAAUAUAUUGAACCGCAUGGUUCAAUAGUGAAAGACGGUUUUGCUGUCACUUAUAGAUGGAUCCGCGCCGCAUUAGCUAGUUGGUAAGGUAACGGCUUACCAAGGCAACGAUGCGUAGCCGACCUGAGAGGGUGAUCGGCGACACUGGAACUGAGACACGGACCAGACUCCUACGGGAGGCAGCAGUAGGGAAUAUUCCGCAAUGGGCGAAAGCCUGACGGAGCAACGCCGCGUGAGUGAUGAAGGUCUUCGGAUCGUAAAACUCUGUUAUUAGGGAAGAACAAAUGUGUAAGUAACUAUGCACGUCUUGACGGUACCUAAUCAGAAAGCCACGGCUAACUACGUG